Molecule: ribosomal RNA, 262 nt
Filed under: uncultured bacterium
Lineage: Bacteria
Description: partial 16S ribosomal RNA
Rfam family: Bacterial small subunit ribosomal RNA
Source: RNAcentral
GUCCACGCCCUAAACGAUGUCUACUAGUUGUCGGGUUUAAUUAACUUGGUAACGCAGCUAACGCGUGAAGUAGACCGCCUGGGGAGUACGGUCGCAAGAUUAAAACUCAAAGGAAUUGACGGGACCCGCACAAGCGGUGGAUGAUGUGGAUUAAUUCGAUGCAACGCGAAAACCUUACCUACCCUUGACAUGUACGGAACCUUUGAGAGAUCAGAGGGUGCUCGAAAAGAGAACCGUAACACAGGUGCUGCAUGGCUGUCGU